RNAcentral lists this ribosomal RNA (756 nucleotides) under Methanosarcinales archaeon enrichment culture. RNAcentral's name for it is "bacterial SSU rRNA". It matches the Rfam family "Archaeal small subunit ribosomal RNA", at positions 102 to 859 of the family's 1478-position model. Lineage: Archaea; Methanobacteriati; Methanobacteriota; Methanomicrobia; Methanosarcinales. The record is from RNAcentral.
GGACAACCUGCCCUUAGGUUGGGUAUAAACCCGGGAAACUGGGUAUAAUCCCCUAUAAGUCUCGGCUGCUGGAAUGCACCGAGAUUAAAAGCUCCGGCGCCUAAGGAUGGGUCUGCGGCCUAUCAGGUAGUAGUGGGUGUAGCGUACCUACUAGCCUACGACGGGUACGGGUUGUGAGAGCAAGAGCCCGGAGAUGGAUUCUGAGACACGAAUCCAGGCCCUACGGGGUGCAGCAGGCGCGAAAACUUUACAAUGCUGGCAACAGCGAUAAGGGAACCUCGAGUGCCAGGUUACAAAUCUGGCUGUCGAGAUGCCUAAAAAGCAUUUCAUAGCAAGGGCCGGGCAAGACCGGUGCCAGCCGCCGCGGUAACACCGGCGGCUCGAGUGGUAACCGUUAUUAUUGGGUCUAAAGGGUCUGUAGCCGGCCGGAUAAGUCUCUUGAGAAAUCUGGCAGCUUAACUGUCAGGCUUUCAGGAGAUACUGUCUGGCUCGAGGCCGGGAGAGGUGAGAGGUACUUCAGGGGUAGGGGUGAAAUCUUGUAAUCCUUGAAGGACCACCAGUGGCGAAGGCGUCUCACCAGAACGGACCUGACGGCAAGGGACGAAAGCUAGGGGCACGAACCGGACUAGAUACCCGGGUAGUCCUAGCCGUAAACGAUACUCGCUAGGUGUCGGCCACGGUGCGACCGUUGUCGGUGCCGUAGGGAAGCCGUGAAGCGAGCCACCUGGGAAGUACGGCCGCAAGGCUGAAACUUAA